Molecule: ribosomal RNA, 251 nt
Filed under: uncultured bacterium
Lineage: Bacteria
Description: partial 16S ribosomal RNA
Rfam family: Bacterial small subunit ribosomal RNA
Source: RNAcentral
AACGGGGGGGGCAAGCGUUAUUCAUCUUUAAUUGGCGUAAAGGGUAUGUAGGCGGGCGUAUGCUUUUCUAGAGAAAUAACAAAAUAAGGUUUUUGUUGGUUUAGUGAAGUCAACGGCCUUGAGACCGCGGGUGGUUAGCAGAAUUACUAAUGUAGGGGUAAAAUUUGCUGAUCUUAGUACGAAUACCGACCGCGAAGGCAGCUUUCUCCCAACUCUGACGCUGAGGUACGAAAGCAUGGGUAUCAAACAGG